RNAcentral lists this long non-coding RNA (1124 nucleotides) under Salvator merianae (Argentine black and white tegu). Its description in RNAcentral is "lncRNA (ENSSMRG00000008354.1)". Lineage: Eukaryota; Metazoa; Chordata; Lepidosauria; Squamata; Teiidae. The record is from RNAcentral.
CCUCCGCGAGGAGGGGGCGACGAACAGGGAAGCGGAGACGGCGGCGGUCCCCACAGCAGCAGCAGCAGCAACAGCCGCCGCCGCCGCCUCAGCACUGAGCAGNAGGAGGCGAGAACGGGCCCAGGGUCUGGAGCUGAGUUCCCGUCACGGCGAAGGCCCUGGGCGGCCCACUAGGGGCCCGAGAGGGCUGCGCAUCACUACGCUCAGGUGCGACGAAGCGCCCAACCCGGGCAGCGGCGGCGGCGGCAGCAGCAGGCGGCGCCUCGAGGGAGCACGCGAGCGAAACGCUUUCCCCGUCGAGCAGCCAGACCCGCCUCCUGCUUCGCUCGCUGCCUGCUUGUGUCACCGCCGCCUCACUACCUCCUCCUCCCUCUCUGCUCGUUUUUGCUGGAAGAAGCAGAUGCCCCCCCAGGCCGGGCUCCUCACAAGAGGAGGAGGAGGGGGCAAAGCGGGCGGGAAAGCUGAGAUUGGGUAAACAGCUCUCCAGCCUGGCGUGGCGCUGCCAUUGGCUGAGCCGAAACACCACGGCGGCUGGGAGAAGAGGCGGCAGGCGAGGCGAGGAGGCGAGGCGAGGAGCAGCAAGGAAAUCGGGUGCGCGCUGCCGCUGCUGCUGUCACUGCCGUGGGAUGCGCCUCCGAGCGGUUUAAAGGCACCCACAAGAAAUUACCCCACAAGGACCUUAUAAAGAUACUCAUCACAGCCACCAAAACUGAAAUAGCUCAACAUUGGAAGUCUACAUCUCAACUCACUUCAACAAAAAGGAUGGACAGUCUGGUCUAUUGUUUUGUAUGAGUUAAUCUCUUUCCAAUGAUCUACUAUGCAAUGCUUUGAAGACUGUUCACUUUUUGUUCAUUGUUGGUCUCCAUUGGUAAAUGCAGCCCAUCAUGAUCCUGUGCUCUGUCCUAUACCUUCAUAUUCUUUGGCAUUUUAAAAUUCUAAACUUAAGUCAUGGUUUCCACAUCUCUCUUUCUUGAGUGUGGAGUCAGAUUCUUUAGUGCUCGAAUCUGUAUGUUUACAGAUUUAUAAUCGAUGUUCCUUAGUUUGUAUGGUUUUAUUGUUACAUUUUUUCCUGUUGUGGCUGUUCUUUUAUAUAAUAAAGUCUUAUUUUAAAAAAAAGACUUUCA